Molecule: ribosomal RNA, 943 nt
Filed under: Agaricus campestris
Lineage: Eukaryota; Fungi; Basidiomycota; Agaricomycetes; Agaricales; Agaricaceae
Description: eukaryotic LSU rRNA
Rfam family: Eukaryotic large subunit ribosomal RNA
Source: RNAcentral
UUAACCCCGCUGAAAUUAGCAUAUCAAUAAGCGGAGGAAAAGAAACUAACAAGGAUUCCCCUAGUAACUGCGAGUGAAGCGGGAAAAGCUCAAAUUUAAAAUCUGGCGGUCUCUGGCCGUCCGAGUUGUAAUCUAGAGAAGUAAUGCCCGUGCUGGACCGUGUAUAAGUCUCCUGGGAUGGAGCGUCAUAGAGGGUGAGAAUCCCGUCUUUGACACGGACUACCAGUGCAUUGUGGUAUGCUCUCAAAGAGUCGAGUUGUUUGGGAAUGCAGCUCAAAAUGGGUGGUAAAUUCCAUCUAAAGCUAAAUAUUGGCGAGAGACCGAUAGCGAACAAGUACCGUGAGGGAAAGAUGAAAAGAACUUUGGAAAGAGAGUUAAACAGUACGUGAAAUUGCUGAAAGGGAAACGCUUGAAGUCAGUCGCGUUGGCCAGGGAUCAGCCUUGCUUUUGCAUGGUGUACUUUCUGGUUGACGGGUCAGCAUCAAUUUUGACCGCUGGAAAAGGGCCUGGGGAAUGUGGCAGCUUCGGCUGUGUUAUAGCCCCUGGUCGCAUACAGUGGUUGGGAUUGAGGAACUCAGCACGCCGCAAGGCCGGGUUUCGACCACGUUCGUGCUUAGGAUGCUGGCAUAAUGGCUUUAAGCGACCCGUCUUGAAACACGGACCAAGGAGUCUAACAUGCCUGCGAGUAUUUGGGUGGAAAACCCAAGUGCGUAAUGAAAGUGAAAGUUGAGAUCCCUGUCGUGGGGAGCAUCGACGCCCGGACCAGAACUUUUGGGACGGAUCCGCGGUGGAGCAUGUAUGUUGGGACCCGAAAGAUGGUGAACUAUGCCUGAAUAGGGUGAAGCCAGAGGAAACUCUGGUGGAGGCUCGUAGCGAUUCUGACGUGCAAAUCGAUCGUCAAAUUUGGGUAUAGGGGCGAAAGACUAAUCGAACCAUCAAUGGC